UUGAUCCUUGUUAUAAAUGAAAUUUUCAUAGUUGUGAAAGAUUGCAGCAAACUUGCUUGUUAGCCUUAAUCAACAUCGGUAACGUCUACCUUGUCGCCAACAAGUCUAUCAUACAUGUAUUGCUUUGGCUUUGACUAAAUAUGAAAAUACAAAAAAAAAACCAAAACAGUCUUUCCCAAAGUCGAACUUAGAGCAUCAUUAACGGGGUAUGCAACUCCCGUCUCUUAGUAUUAAUUGGUUAACAAAAAAAAAUUAGCAUAAUUAUGAGGAAACAUAUCUUAAUUAGGGGAAAUAAGAAACGCCUCUUCUGAGACACGUGUUGUCUUUUUGGUUGUUCUUGUGUGUUUCUCUCUCUCCACGGAAGAAAAUCACCGCAUCUCAAACCCAUCGACGGAAGCAAACCCGUGCCUCUAUCGAUAGAUCGUAAUCGAAUUGGGGAGGUGUAGAGGAACCGAUCAACAUGGGUAACACAGAUAAGCUGAUGAAUCAGAUAUGUGGAUUUGUAUGAUUGUUUGAUUUUUUCUGGGUAGAGAGAAAGGUUUUGUAUGAUUGUUUGACUGUUUCUGGGUAGAGAGAAAGAUAUGUGGAUUUGUAUGAUUGUCUAAUGAAUCAGAUAUGUGGAUUUGUAUGAUAGGUGAAUGUGGAUUUGUAUGAUUGUUUCUGGGUAGAGAGAAAGGUUUUUUCUUUAUGGAAACCCAAGAGGAAAGUAGCGUCAUUUAGUCUUAAGGUUCAAUCUUUGUUACGUAUAGGCCUCGGCGUUCGGGUCGGGUUUUUUGGAUUUCGGUUCUCUUUUAUAACAUCUCCUAGGUCCCAUUCUAGUAAAUUUGCAAGUACGGAUCGGGUUCGGAUAUAACACAUUGGGUUCGGGUCGGUUUUGUAUCACAUCAUAGAACCCAUAAAGUAAUCAUAUAUCAUUCGGAUUCGGGUUAUAUCAGAUCGGUUCGGAUAUACCCGAAAUAAAAUCUAAAAUUUAAAAAUAAAACAUAAGAAAUAUAUAUUUAUUUAUAUAUAAUUAAGUAUUUAAGGUAGUUAUUUAAAUUUUAAAUACUUAUUAUUAGAUAACAUAUCAAAAUAAAUAUGAAAUUGAAUAUUUGAAGUAUAUAUUCAUGUUUCAUAUAAUUAUAUUGUAUAUUAUUUUGGACAUUCGGAUCGGUUUCUUCGGAUAUUUUUUCGGAUUUUUCGUUUUUUUUCGGUUUUUCGGGUUACCCGUUCGGGUUCGGAUAUGUUUUGUACCACCUUACAAAAUCCAUUCGGAUAUUAUUUACAUUUCGAACCGGAUACGGAUCGGAUUUUUCGGUUCGGAUUUUGGGUUACGGAUAUUAUGCCCAUGCCUAGUUACGUAGAUGACUUUGAAUGUAGCUUCUUGAUCUUACAGAGUUAAAGUGUAGGAAGAUUUUAAAAAAAGUAUGUGUUAUUUUGUAACGGAAAUAUUUGUGCUUUUGAUUGAACUGUCCCACUUGCAGAAGAUCUUUCUCCUUUGCCUGAAGCUGACAACGGUGGAGUUACUGUGACAGAAAGUUCGACUCCCAUUGCUGAAUCAGCUUCUUCCAAGACUAACAUUGCGUUGCAACCAAAAGUUUCAGAAAAUUCAGAAGAUGCUACCACUAGGGAUUGUUCAAUUCAGUAUCAAACAUCUGUUUCUCCUCUUCGAGAAAGCUCGACUCCCAUUGCCGAAACAGCUUCAUCCAAGACGAAUAGUGCGUUGCAACCAGAAGAUGCUACAACUAGGGCUUGUUCAAUUCAGUAUGAAACAUCUAUUUCUCUUUUAGGUGCGUUGCAAAUGGUCAAAGGCUAAAGUGUUUAGGUUUCAUUGCUCGAUAAGAAGAUAUGUCUCCUCCUCUGCCUGAAGCAGACAAAGACGGUGGCGUUAUUGUUACAGAGAGUUCAACUCCCAUUGCAGAGGCAGCUUUUUCCAAGACUAACAGUGGAUCUCAAAUAGAAGAUAUACAAAAACCAGAUGAUGAAUCUACAAAGCCUGUUACUCUCAGUGCAGGAACAACAUUGGUGAAUGUUCUACUCAUGAUCUUCCCAGUAACGAUGAG
This is an RNA transcript of Brassica napus (rape), 2042 nucleotides long. RefSeq lists it as uncharacterized. Lineage: Eukaryota; Viridiplantae; Streptophyta; Magnoliopsida; Brassicales; Brassicaceae. The transcript is spliced from 5 exons. The record is from RefSeq and is a predicted model, not a curated record.